Molecule: unclassified non-coding RNA, 1981 nt
Filed under: Leishmania donovani
Lineage: Eukaryota; Euglenozoa; Kinetoplastea; Trypanosomatida; Trypanosomatidae
Description: gene:LdHU3.35.5060(CDS-product:30S_Ribosomal_prot ein_S17-like_protein)
Source: RNAcentral
AAACGUCUGAGCAUACGCACACAUUAAAAAAGGAGCGUCUGGAGCAACUCUUCUUUUUGUGCGGGGAAGGGCUUCCACAGAGAUACACACACACGCUGGCAAACGCACGCACGCACACACACACACACACACACACAGUGUCGGAUCGGCGCAAGAGCGUGUGCGCAUGUCUGUUCUUUUUCUUUUUUAGCCUUGCUGCGGAGGUGUUGCGAGUGUGUUGUGGCUCUCGGCGUAUCCUUGUUGACGUGGUAGCACCCCUCUUCAUUUUACUGGCGCAUAUCGGAAGGACAAAAGGAUCUUGACGCUUGGAACUGAGUCUCCUUGACGUUCCCUCCUGCCCACGUUGCAGCGCGUGCCGAAAGGUACUUGGCUCGAUUUUUAUCCGUGAAUGUUGACUCGCCCCGCAAAACUCGCAUGCUUCGUCAGUCGCUUCUUCGACUCCCGUGGUGGAACUUCCAGACGGAGCACCGUCAGCGGUGCGUGAUGAUGUACGGCGGCGCGCGCACCAAGAACACACACAACGCAAAUCACCGCGUCUACGUCCGCAAGUUCAAACGCAAUGCCUUUCCGAAUCGCACGCGACAUCAUUGGGCUGUCUCGAUGACUGGUGUGCAGGGACAGCGACCGCGUCGCAUGCCGUGGCCGUACGACUUGACGUCAAUGAUUUUCAACCAGCCCCGCCAGGGCUCUGACAAGAUCGGCUACGUGGUCGGCACCAGCAUGCUCAAGACGGCUGUGGUGGCAGCGAAUCACAUGGUCUACUACCCGAAGUUCAACCAGCGCGUGUCGCGCACGAGUCGCUUCUUUGCUCACGAUGAGGAUCUCGCUUGCGUCGAGGGUGACCUGGUACACAUCAAGCAGUCUCGAAAGAUCUCCAAGUACAAGCACUACUAUGUCUUCAGCAUCCUAGAGCCGAACAUUGAAGGACGAGAGCGGCUGAAGCUCGGGCUCAAGGCAGUGCCGCCGCCGCUGUUCGGUUACCCAGUGUCGCGCCGUGUUGUGAAGCUGAACCUGACUAACACAGAGGGCACCAAGGAGAAGCUGGCAGCGGCGAUUCAGGAGCACGUGCAGGAUGCCUAUAGGUUUGCUGGGCCGACACCAGAUCAACCGCGCGCCAAGCUGACGGACUCUGCUUCCUUCGAUGAGGCGAACAAGAUGAUUGCCCCGAACGCGUCUGUGACAGCGGAGCUGCCGCCCGGUGAGGAGCCCACGUUUCUUGGAGGCGGGCAACCAGUGGCCGAGGAGUUCAGCGAAGUGGAGGAGGACAGCCGCCAUAAGAAGGGUGACGACUACUGGAUGAACCUGCAGCCGUCUGACAAGUACGACUUCAAAAACUUGAAGAAGUCGCCUUAGGCGGCGUCGCGAAUAUACUGUGCACGGUGCCCCGCCUCCUCCGGUUUGGUGUCCGGGUCUUUGUGAAUGCGUUGUUGGUGGUUUCUACAUGUGAGGGGGUCGGUAAGCGGGUAAGUGGAGCUGUAGAACAAUCUGAGAAUAGCCCCGGCCCACCUCUCUCUCGCGCUUGUGUCUUUGUUUCGUGGUGCUCACAGUAACUACAUAAGCGUAUGGGGAUUCCUCCCGACUAUAUAUAUAUAUAUGUUUGCGCUGCCGACAUUGUGCUACCUGCACGACCUUGUGUCUGUGUACCUCUGCAUGUGUGCAGGGUCGUUGGCGGCAUCGCGUUUCUACCUUCUAUCUCAGCAGAGCGAAAAAAAAAAACGAGAAAGAAUAGACAUACAAGAGGGUGCUGGCGGUGCUAGUGGGAGGCGGGGGGAGGCAGCCCUGUUCCUGUUUCUCUUGCUAGUCAGUCAACAAAGCAGCAGCAAGGCACCGGUUUCGAAUCAGCUUCUUCACCAUGUUUGAUAAAAGCUUACCACGGCAGGGUUGUCGACGGGCACAACUGCUUCUCUGCCUGCCCUUGGUGAGUGCGCAUUACGCGUGAAUCGCACGCCUUGCGCUGGGUUCAUCUUUCAACCACGCCGCU